This 292-nucleotide ribosomal RNA is filed under the name uncultured bacterium. RNAcentral's name for it is "partial 16S ribosomal RNA". It matches the Rfam family "Bacterial small subunit ribosomal RNA", at positions 505 to 796 of the family's 1533-position model. The record is from RNAcentral.
GUGUCAGCAGCCGCGGUAAUACGGAGGGUGCAAGCGUUAUCCGGAUUCACUGGGUUUAAAGGGUGCGUAGGCGGGCUUGUAAGUCAGUGGUGAAAGCCCGGGGCUUAACUCCGGAACUGCCGUUGAUACUGCAAGCCUUGAGUACAGUUGAGGUGGGCGGAAUACAUCAUGUAGAGGUGAAAUUCUUAGAUAUGAUGUAGAACACCGAUUGCGAAGGCAGCUCACUAAAGUGUAACUGACGCUGAGGCACGAAAGCGUGGGGAUCAAACAGGAUUAGAAACCCGGGUAGUCC